UCCCCUGUAGCUCAAUGGCAGAGCAUCUCGCUGUUAACGAGAGGGUUCUAGGUUCGAAUCCUAGCGGGGGAG
This 72-nucleotide transfer RNA is filed under the name Candidatus Woesebacteria bacterium. Its description in RNAcentral is "tRNA-Asn". It matches the Rfam family "tRNA". From Rfam's summary of the family: Transfer RNA (tRNA) molecules are approximately 80 nucleotides in length. Lineage: Bacteria; Candidatus Woeseibacteriota. The record is from RNAcentral.